GAUGAACGCUAGCGGCAGGCCUAAUACAUGCAAGUCGGACGGUAAAUGGCCCUUCGGGGCUAUGAGAGUGGCGCACGGGUGCGUAACGCGUAUGCAACCUACCCAAUGCUGGCGGAUAGCCCGGAGAAAUUCGGAUUAAGCCGUCAUGAGGAGCGGAGAGGGCAUCCUUUCUGUUUCAAAUAUUCAUAGGCGUUGGAUGGGGAUGCGUGACAUUAGAUAGUAGGCGGGGUAACGGCCCACCUAGUCUACGAUGUCUAGGGGUUCUGAGAGGAAGGUCCCCCACACUGGAACUGAGACACGGUCCAGACUCCUACGGGAGGCAGCAGUGAGGAAUAUUGGUCAAUGGUCGGAAGACUGAACCAGCCAAGUAGCGUGAAGGAUGAAGGUUCUAUGGAUUGUAAACUUCUUUAUACGGGAAUAAAACACCUUACGUGUAGGGUCUUGUAUGUACCGUAUGAAUAAGCAUCGGCUAACUCCGUG
Molecule: ribosomal RNA, 480 nt
Filed under: uncultured bacterium
Lineage: Bacteria
Description: bacterial SSU rRNA
Rfam family: Bacterial small subunit ribosomal RNA
Source: RNAcentral